AGUGAACGCUGGCGGUAGGCCUAACACAUGCAAGUCGAACGGCAGCACAGGAGAGCUUGCUCUCUGGGUGGCGAGUGGCGGACGGGUGAGGAAUACAUCGGAAUCUACUUUUUCGUGGGGGAUAACGUAGGGAAACUUACGCUAAUACCGCAUACGACCUACGGGUGAAAGCAGGGGAUCUUCGGACCUUGCGCGAUUGAAUGAGCCGAUGUCGGAUUAGCUAGUUGGCGGGGUAAAGGCCCACCAAGGCGACGAUCCGUAGCUGGUCUGAGAGGAUGAGCAGCCACACGGGAACGGGGAGACGGUCCGGACUCCUACGGGAGGCGGCAGUGGGGAAUAUUGGACAAUGGGCGCAAGCCUGAUUCAGCCAUACCGCGUGGGUGAAGAAGGCCUUCGGGUUGUAAAGCCCUUUUGUUGGGAAAGAAAUCCAGCUGGCUAAUACCCGGUUGGGAUGACGGUACCCAAAGAAUAAGCACCGGCUAACUUCGUGCCAGCCGCCGCAGUAA
Molecule: ribosomal RNA, 506 nt
Filed under: uncultured bacterium
Lineage: Bacteria
Description: partial 16S ribosomal RNA
Rfam family: Bacterial small subunit ribosomal RNA
Source: RNAcentral